GGGCGCCCGUAGCUCAGUUGGAUAGAGUACCUGGCUACGAACCAGGCGGUCGGGAGUUCGAAUCUCUCCACUCCGACCA
RNAcentral lists this transfer RNA (79 nucleotides) under bacterium M00.F.Ca.ET.229.01.1.1. Its description in RNAcentral is "tRNA-Arg". The stretch from base 9 to 69 matches the Rfam family "tRNA", at positions 7 to 64 of the family's 71-position model. From Rfam's summary of the family: Transfer RNA (tRNA) molecules are approximately 80 nucleotides in length. Their secondary structure includes four short double-helical elements and three loops (D, anti-codon, and T loops). Further hydrogen bonds mediate the characteristic L-shaped molecular structure. tRNAs have two regions of fundamental functional importance: the anti-codon, which is responsible for specific mRNA codon recognition, and the 3' end, to which the tRNAs corresponding amino acid is attached (by aminoacyl-tRNA synthetases). tRNAs cope with the degeneracy of the genetic code in two manners: having more than one tRNA (with a specific anti-codon) for a particular amino acid; and 'wobble' base-pairing, i.e. permitting non-standard base-pairing at the 3rd anti-codon position. The record is from RNAcentral.